RNAcentral lists this ribosomal RNA (503 nucleotides) under Escherichia coli. Its description in RNAcentral is "bacterial SSU rRNA". It matches the Rfam family "Bacterial small subunit ribosomal RNA", at positions 1 to 493 of the family's 1533-position model. The record is from RNAcentral. Lineage: Bacteria; Pseudomonadati; Pseudomonadota; Gammaproteobacteria; Enterobacterales; Enterobacteriaceae.
AAAUUGAAGAGUUUGAUCAUGGCUCAGAUUGAAUGCUGGCGGCAGGCCUAACACAUGCAAGUCGAACGGUAACAGGAAACAGCUUGCUGUUUCGCUGACGAGUGGCGGACGGGUGAGUAAUGUCUGGGAAACUGCCUGAUGGAGGGGGAUAACUACUGGAAACGGUAGCUAAUACCGCAUAACGUCGCAAGACCAAAGAGGGGGACCUUCGGGCCUCUUGCCAUCGGAUGUGCCCAGAUGGGAUUAGCUAGUAGGUGGGGUAACGGCUCACCUAGGCGACGAUCCCUAGCUGGUCUGAGAGGAUGACCAGCCACACUGGAACUGAGACACGGUCCAGACUCCUACGGGAGGCAGCAGUGGGGAAUAUUGCACAAUGGGCGCAAGCCUGAUGCAGCCAUGCCGCGUGUAUGAAGAAGGCCUUCGGGUUGUAAAGUACUUUCAGCGGGGAGGAAGGGAGUAAAGUUAAUACCUUUGCUCAUUGACGUUACCCGCAGAAGAAGCAC